AGCGCCUGGCGACGGGCGCCUCCUGCCGUCCAAGUACGCCACCGGCCCACCCAGUGCCCGCGUCCCUCUGUCCCCCGCCCCCCUCCACCGGAUCUGCUCGUCUCCCCCGGGGCCGCACCCGCACACGGCCGCUGCUGAGUCAGGGGACGGGCAGACGGAUGGUCCCUCCACCGCAAGGGCUCCGGAGGACAUACUUAAAUGAAACAAAUCCUUCUAUCCGAAGUAAAACCUCAGAAACAUUUUUAAUAAAUGGGCAUUAACGUCUCUCCUGGCAAUGGAAAUCGUGAAUCUCUUAGCAAAGUUUCAGCAAUAAUUCAAGCACAUUUUCCUACCUCGUGUGGCAACGCUCCUUGGUGGAUUCCCCUGGAAUAAUCGGCCCAUUCCAGUUGUUAGGACGUGGUCUUUAAACCUGAGUUAUUCCUGAACAUCUUGGAAAAUAGGGGUUCUUCAUCUCAGCAAUUAUGAAAUACUGCAGACCUUGUUUGCUGCCGGGGAGAAAGAUUUAUCGUCAGAGAUAAUGGCAAGACUGCGGCCCGUGCUCCCCGAGACCCUUCUCUCGAGUUUUUCAUCAUUUCAACAGAACUGAAGAUGGAGAAGAAGCUUCUGGUGGAGCAUGUGGAGACGGGGCGUGCCAGCACGGGAGGACUGGCCGUCUAGCAGGGAGGAGCGCGGCAGCCCGGCCUUCUGUCCCCCACGGGAACCACGGCCAGAGCCUGCCGGGAGCAAGCGGCAGACACAGUGCCACCAUCAUGCAGCCACAGCCCGCCCUGCCCCCCUCCUUCCUUCCGCAGCGGAGAGCGAGGGGCUCGUCUGGUUGGUGAGACUCCAUGGCACAGACUGGGCGGGAUGGCAGCUGACGUUCAAAACCGGCGCAGGUCCCUCCUGACACCCACGCCCCUCGGCACAGCGCACGGCUGCGCUCCUGUCUCUGCACCUCCAGAUCUGGGCUGGGCUUCGGCGAGCCUGGACUGGGGCUUCGGGGAGAAGGAGAGAGACAGCAUCCCUGCUGAUGGGAGGCCAUUGUGGCCAGACUCAGGUGCCCAGAGGUCGGUCAAAGCCCGGUCCAGGCGCAUCCGCGAAGGGAUUCUGCAGGUGUCAUCAGCAUUUGACUUUGCGGAAAGCAGGUGGAGGUCCCCCGAGGAGGAGGGGGCUCCCUCUGCCUGCCCACGGCCUGCAGGACCCCAGACCACAUCAGCUCUUCCCUGGGUCUGCAGGCUGGUCUGCGGGUUCCAGACGUGCCAGCCCCCACGGUCACGCGGCCCCGUUCCCGCUGUGGUUCAAGCAUGAGGCUUCUACCUCCGUGUGCUUCCUCCAGGGAGACGCGUGAGGAACCAACGGACACGAGCCCUCGUGACUCUCGGGGGCUCACUCGUGGGCUCAGGACAGCUGCACAGACAAGGAACAACGCUGCCUCAGACACAAGGAGACCAACACAGGUGAUUGACCCGCCCGGGCCCGCAGUUUCUCAGCAGGCCCCCGGGCCUCAGAGUCCUCUGGAGCCUCGCCUGGUCACAGAUGCCUGGACACCAAGCUUCCCAGCCCCCUCCCCAGACCUGAGCUGCCCCCGAGUGCUAUGCCCUUGGUUCUCCCGCCCGGCUCACACACAGGCCCCCAAAGCAUCACCCCCUCCCGGGACCCAGGCCAGCACUCCACACUGUCCACCGCAGCCCCCACGGUCACCACAUCGGCCCCAUCCCCCCCAAGCUGCUGCAUGGCCUGCCCCAGUCCCUGGUCCUGAGCUGGGCCCUGCAGGCCUGUGGGACCAAGGCCGGGAUAUGCAAGGAACCGUGCCAGGCACACGGCUGUCCCUGCCGGAGACUGUGGUCGUCCGACGGUUUUACUCUUCAAACACAGGAUGGUACAAAGCACUUUCACCUUAGUUUGAAAUUCCUACUUUCAAGUCCUACCUUGAAAAAGUUUUCAUUAUCAGACUGAAUUCAAGAUUUGCUGGGGAAAAAAGUGAUUGUAUCUUCCUUCUGGGAUUUUGCUUUUAAACCAAUCAAUAAAUCGUU
This is a long non-coding RNA of Mustela erminea (ermine), 2012 nucleotides long. RefSeq lists it as uncharacterized. Lineage: Eukaryota; Metazoa; Chordata; Mammalia; Carnivora; Mustelidae. The record is from RefSeq and is a predicted model, not a curated record. The transcript is spliced from 4 exons.